GAUGAAGAACGCAGUGAAAUGCGAUAAGUAGUGUGAAUUGCAGAAUUCAGUGAAUCAUCGAAUCUUUGAACGCACAUUGCGCCCGCUGGUAUUCCGGCGGGCAUGCCUGUUCGAGCGUCAUUUCAACCCUCAAGCCCCCGGGUUUGGUGUUGGGGAUCGGCUCUGCCUUCUGGCGGUGCCGCCCCCGAAAUACAUUGGCGGUCUCGCUGCAGCCUCCAUUGCGUAGUAGCUAACACCUCGCAACUGGAACGCGGCGCGGCCAUGCCGUAAAACCCCAACUUCUGAAUGUUGACCUCGGAUCAGGUAGGAAUACCCGCUGAACUUAAGCAUAUCAAUAAGCGGAGGA
This 346-nucleotide unclassified non-coding RNA is filed under the name soil metagenome. RNAcentral's name for it is "partial contains 5.8S ribosomal RNA, internal transcribed spacer 2, and large subunit ribosomal RNA". The stretch from base 1 to 120 matches the Rfam family "5.8S ribosomal RNA", at positions 35 to 154 of the family's 154-position model. The record is from RNAcentral.